This 682-nucleotide ribosomal RNA is filed under the name uncultured bacterium. RNAcentral's name for it is "bacterial SSU rRNA". It matches the Rfam family "Bacterial small subunit ribosomal RNA", at positions 8 to 714 of the family's 1533-position model. The record is from RNAcentral.
AGAGUUUGAUCCUGGCUCAGGAUGAACGCUGGCGGCGUGCCUAAUACAUGCAAGUCGAACGGACAUGCAGCAAUGUGUGUUAGUGGCGACCGGGUGCGUAACACGUAGCUAACCUGCCCCUCAGCGGGGAACAACUGUUGGAAACGACAGCUAAUACCGCAUGAUGUCGGAGAGAACAAAUAUUUCCGACUAAACUUACGGGGUUGAGGGAGGGGGCUGCGGCCCAUCAGGUAGUUGGAGAGGUAAAAGCUCACCAAGCCAAUGACGGGUAGGGGACCUGAGAGGGUGGUCCCCCACACUGGGACUGACAACGGCCCAGACUCCUACGGGAGGCAGCAGUAAGGGAUAUUGCGCAAUGGGCGAAAGCCUGACGCAGCAACGCCGCGUGGAGGAUGAAGGCCUUCGGGUCGUAAACUUCUUUUAGCAGGGACGAGGAAGGACGGUACCUGCGGAAUCAGUCACGGCUAACUACGUGCCAGCAGCCGCGGUAAAACGUAGGUGGCAAGCGUUAUCCGGAUUUACUGGGCGUAAAGGGUGUGCAGGCGGGGUUGCAAGUGGUGUAUGAAAUCUCCAGGCUUANCCUGGAGGGGUUAUGCCAGACUGCAACUCUAGAGGACGAGAGAGGGGGGUGGAAUUCCGGGUGUAGUGGUGAAAUGCGUAGAGAUCCGGAGGAACCCAGAGG